This 448-nucleotide ribosomal RNA is filed under the name uncultured bacterium. Its description in RNAcentral is "SSU rRNA". It matches the Rfam family "Bacterial small subunit ribosomal RNA", at positions 26 to 518 of the family's 1533-position model. The record is from RNAcentral.
AGAGCGAACGCUGGCGGCAGGCUUAACACAUGCAAGUCGAGCGGGCGUAGCAAUACGUCAGCGGCAGACGGGUGAGUAACGCGUGGGAACGUACCUUUUGGUUCGGAACAACCCAGGGAAACUUGGGCUAAUACCGGAUAAGCCCUUACGGGGAAAGAUUUAUCGCCGAAAGAUCGGCCCGCGUCUGAUUAGCUAGUUGGUGAGGUAAUGGCUCACCAAGGCGACGAUCAGUAGCUGGUCUGAGAGGAUGAUCAGCCACAUUGGGACUGAGACACGGCCCAAACUCCUACGGGAGGCAGCAGUGGGGAAUAUUGGACAAUGGGCGCAAGCCUGAUCCAGCCAUGCCGCGUGAGUGAUGAAGGCCCUAGGGUUGUAAAGCUCUUUGUGCGGGAAGAUAAUGACGGUACCGCAAGAAUAAGCCCCGGACUAACUUCGUGCCAGCAGCCGC